This 934-nucleotide long non-coding RNA is filed under the name Homo sapiens (human). RNAcentral's name for it is "HSALNT0288169". Lineage: Eukaryota; Metazoa; Chordata; Mammalia; Primates; Hominidae. The record is from RNAcentral.
AUAUAGAGAAAUGACAUGGGAGAUGGCCUCCAUUUUUCCCAUUGUACGGACAAGAUCUCAGGCAAAGGUGUCACAGCCACAGACGUUUCUGGCUAGAAAAACAAUCAACAUCCUAGAGAUCAGUAACAAUAAAACAAAAUUUCCAGUUCUCAAAAAAAAAGUGAAGUUAAGAUAAUAGAUAAAACAUUCAUUAGUUUACAAAAAUAAAAACUAAUAGUAGCAUCCAUUGUUGAUGAAAUUGUAAGUGCUAGAAGAAAUGUGAUUACUACAAGGGUUUUGGAAAGUAAUUUGAUACAUAAAUAGUUAUAAUUUUAUUUAAUAUUACAUAAAUUUAGUAUUUAAAUAAUUUCAAUGCACAGUACUUACAGCACUUGGCCAAGUUUUCACAUUUUGUACCACUUAUUAAAUACAAAUAACAUCACCAAGAAUAAAAGAUAAAUAUACCACCAUGUUUAUUAUAGCAUUGUUAUUAAUAUAAAAGAUUUGGAAUGUUAGAACUGUCCUCAAAAUCAGAAAGAUUAAAUGGUGCAUCAAUUGAAACCUUGGUAUAAAUAUAAUAUUGAUUAUUAUGUAGCUAUUAAUGCAAAUAAGAUUGAUACAUGUGUUGCUUUGGAAGAAAAUCUAAAAUGUGUAUUUUAGCAAAGGCAAAUUAUAGAAUGUGCAUGUAUUAUGUGUGUACAUGGAUGUGUGUAUAGCAGUUUCAGUUUUGUAAAUGUGAACAUAAUCUUUGCAGAUGUUUUAUAUGCAAAAUUAACUUCAUGAAAAUUAUUGUCAAAUUGCUAUGAGUGCUUAUAUUUGAAAUUGGAAGAAGAAAAGAAAAGUAUUAAUUUAUCUUCCACAUCUUCUUAUUUUCAAAUGUUAUAAUGAUUAAUUUUUUGUAAGAGCACUGAAAAACCAACAUGUACUUCUAGUUUUUAAUUUUACGGUCAAAUAU